AUUGAACGCUGGCGGCAGGCUUAACACAUGCAAGUCGAACGGUAACAGGGAGAAACUUGUUUCUCUGCUGACGAGUGGCGGACGGGUGAGUAAUGCUUGGGAAUCUGCCUUAUGGAGGGGGAUAACCACUGGAAACGGUGGCUAAUACCGCGUAAUAUCUUCGGAUUAAAGUGUGGGACUUUCGAGCCACACGCCAUAAGAUGAGCCCAAGUGAGAUUAGGUUGUUGGUGAGGUAAUGGCUCACCAAGCUUACGAUCUCUAGCUGGUCUGAGAGGAUGACCAGCCACACUGGGACUGAGACACGGCCCAGACUCCUACGGGAGGCAGCAGUGGGGAAUAUUGCACAAUGGGCGCAAGCCUGAUGCAGCCAUGCCGCGUGAAUGAAGAAGGCCUUCGGGUUGUAAAGUUCUUUCGGUGGUGAGGAAGGUUGUAAUGUUAAUAGCAUUAUAAUUUGACGUUAGCCACAGAAGAAGCACCGGCUAACUCCGUGCCAGCAGCCGCGGUAAUACGGAGGGUGCGAGCGUUAAUCGGAAUAACUGGGCGUAAAGGGCACGCAGGCGGAUACUUAAGUGAGGUGUGAAAGCCCUGGGCUUAACCUAGGAAUUGCAUUUCAUACUGGGUAUCUAGAGUAUUUUAGGGAGGGGUAGAAUUCCACGUGUAGCGGUGAAAUGCGUAGAGAUGUGGAGGAAUACCGAAGGCGAAGGCAGCCCCUUGGGGGAAUACUGACGCUCAUGUGCGAAAGCGUGGGGAGCAAACAGG
This 759-nucleotide ribosomal RNA is filed under the name uncultured bacterium. RNAcentral describes it as "bacterial SSU rRNA". It matches the Rfam family "Bacterial small subunit ribosomal RNA", at positions 28 to 776 of the family's 1533-position model. The record is from RNAcentral.